UACGAAGGGGGCUAGCGUUGCUCGGAAUCACUGGGCGUAAGGCGCACGUAGGCGGAUCGUUAAGUCAGGGGUGAAAUCCUGGAGCUCAACUCCAGAACUGCCUUUGAUACUGGCGACCUUGAGUUCGGGAGAGGUGAGUGGAACUGCGAGUGUAGAGGUGAAAUUCGUAGAUAUUCGCAAGAACACCAGUGGCGAAGGCGGCUCACUGGCCCGAUACUGACGCUGAGGUGCGAAAGCGUGGGGAGCAAACAGG
Molecule: ribosomal RNA, 253 nt
Filed under: uncultured bacterium
Lineage: Bacteria
Description: partial 16S ribosomal RNA
Rfam family: Bacterial small subunit ribosomal RNA
Source: RNAcentral